Rhipicephalus sanguineus (brown dog tick) is the source of this 297-nucleotide long non-coding RNA. RefSeq lists it as uncharacterized. The record is from RefSeq and is a predicted model, not a curated record. NCBI's taxonomy places the organism in Eukaryota, Metazoa, Arthropoda, Arachnida, Ixodida, Ixodidae. The transcript is spliced from 2 exons.
CGAUUCUUGGACUCUCCGGAGACGGAACCAGCGGGCACACUCCAAGACCAAGUCAUUGCAGCGAUAGAGAUUCUGAUGACAUCGCAACUGAGCCAAUGUAUGAUGCAGCACCGGGUCUGUAUUGCGAGUCGGGAGAAGCUGGAGACACAUCAUUCGAGCCAGCAUGUGAGGCGGGCCAUGUCACCGAUAAGUCUGUUCAAGUGCGACUAGUAACCCGCCACGAAGCAUCACAAGCAGAUGAAAAGAAAAUUCUGUCAACGAGUGCUACACAAACAGAGGCUCAAGCUGUUUCUUCAG